Molecule: long non-coding RNA, 323 nt
Filed under: Gossypium barbadense (sea-island cotton)
Lineage: Eukaryota; Viridiplantae; Streptophyta; Magnoliopsida; Malvales; Malvaceae
Description: long non-coding RNA (GBAR_LNC009743)
Source: RNAcentral
GCUUUUGCCUCCAAAUCAGUCCCUAAAAGAUAAAAAGACAUAAAUAACUUAAAUUAGUAGGAUCAAGCUCAGAAUAAACACAUGAUUAAUACAUAAAAAUACGUUAUUCUAGAGCAUUAUCACAUUUGCUGAGCUCAACAUACUUUCCUUGAAACUCCUCAUUCAGCUUAUUUAAGCUUGUUUGGGAAUGUCACAGGGUUAAGCUGUUGUUGUCUUCUCUACAAGCAGCCCUCAAAGAUGACAGGCUUUAACAACUUCUUGUUCUUCUUAACAAACAGUAGAAGCAGAAACAAGCCUUCAAAGGUGACAGGCUUUAACGGCUU